UUCCGGUUGAUCCUGCCGGACCUGACUGCUAUCGGAUUGAUACUAAGCCAUGCGAGUCAUUGUAGCAAUACAAGGCAGACGGCUCAGUAACGCGUAGUCAAUCUACCCUAUGGACGGGAAUAACCUCGGGAAACUGAGAAUAAUGCCCGAUAGAACAUUAUGCCUGGAAUGGUUUAUGUUUCAAAUGAUUUAUCGCCAUAGGAUGGGACUGCGGCCUAUCAGUUUGUUGGUGAGGUAAUGGCCCACCAAGACUAUUACAGGUACGGGCUCUGAGAGGAGUAGCCCGGAGAUGGGUACUGAGACACGGACCCAGGCCCUAUGGGGCGCAGCAGGCGAGAAAACUUUGCAAUGUGCGAAAGCACGACAAGGUUAAUCCGAGUGGUUUCUGCUAAAGAAACCUUUUGUCAGUCCUAGAAACACUAACGAAUAAGGGGUGGGCAAGUUCUGGUGUCAGCCGCCGCGGUAAAACCAGCACCUCAAGUGGUCAGGAUGAUUAUUGGGCCUAAAGCAUCCGUAGCUCGUUUUGUAAGUUUUCGGUUAAAUCCAUGCGCUUAACGUAUGGGCUGCCGGGAAUACUGCAUAACUAGGAAGUGGGAGAGGUAGACGGUACUCGGGAGGAAGGGGUAAAAUCCUUUGAUCUCUUGAUGACCACCUGUGGCGAAGGCGGUCUACCAGAACACGUUCGACGGUGAGGGAUGAAAGCUGGGGGAGCAAACCGGAUUAGAUACCCGGGUAGUCCCAGCUGUAAACUAUGCAAACUCAGUGAUGCGUUGGCUUAUGGCCAAUGCAGCGCUGCAGGGAAGCCGUUAAGUUUGCCGCCUGGGAAGUACGUACGCAAGUAUGAAACUUAAAGGAAUUGGCGGGGGAGCACCACAA
Molecule: ribosomal RNA, 876 nt
Filed under: uncultured Nitrososphaerota archaeon
Lineage: Archaea; Thermoproteati; Nitrososphaerota
Description: bacterial SSU rRNA
Rfam family: Archaeal small subunit ribosomal RNA
Source: RNAcentral